GACGAACGCUGGCGGCGUGCCUAACACGUGCAAGUCGAACGCGAAAGGGGCUUCGGCCCUGAGUAGAGUGGCGUCCGGGUGAGUAACGCGUGGGUAAUCUACCCUCGGGUGGGGAAUAACCAAUCGAAAGAUUGGCUAAUACCGCAUAAUGCAGCGGCUCGACAUCGAGACAGUUGUUAAAGCAGCAAUGCGCCAGAGGAGGAGCCUGCGUCUGAUUAGCUUGUUGGGAGGUAAUGGCUCACCAAGGCAACGAUCAGUAGCUGGUCUGAGAGGAUGAUCAGCCACAUUGGGACUGAGACACGGCCCAAACUCCUACGGGAGGCAGCAGUGGGGAAUAUUGGACAAUGGGCGAAAGCCUGAUCCAGCCAUGCCGCGUGAGUGAUGAAGGCCUUA
This 393-nucleotide ribosomal RNA is filed under the name uncultured bacterium. Its description in RNAcentral is "partial 16S ribosomal RNA". It matches the Rfam family "Bacterial small subunit ribosomal RNA", at positions 28 to 419 of the family's 1533-position model. The record is from RNAcentral.